GACGAACGCUGGCGGCGUGCUUAACACAUGCAAGUCGAACGGUGAAGCGCCUUCCUUUUUGGUGGGUGUGGAUGAGUGGCGAACGGGUGAGUAACACGUGAGUAACCUGCCCCCUUCUUCUGGAUAACCGCAUGAAAGUGUGGCUAAUACGGGAUAUUCUGGGUCUGUCGCAUGAUGGGUCUGGGAAGGAUAUUGUUUCGGUGGGGGAUGGGCUCGCGGCCUAUCAGCUUGUUGGUGGGGUGAUGGCCUACCAAGGCGGUGACGGGUAGCCGGCCUGAGAGGGUGGACGGUCACACUGGGACUGAGACACGGCGCAGACUCCUACGGGAGGCAGCAGUGGGGAAUAUUGCACAGUGGGCGCAAGCCUGAUGCAGCGACGCCGCGUGAGGGAUGGAGGCCUUCGGGUUGUGAACCUCUUUCGCCAGUGAAGCAGGCCUGCCUCGUUUGUGGGUGGGUUGACGGUAGCUGGAUAAGAAGCGCCGGCUAACUACGUG
Molecule: ribosomal RNA, 494 nt
Filed under: uncultured bacterium
Lineage: Bacteria
Description: partial 16S ribosomal RNA
Rfam family: Bacterial small subunit ribosomal RNA
Source: RNAcentral